RNAcentral lists this ribosomal RNA (1305 nucleotides) under uncultured bacterium. RNAcentral's name for it is "bacterial SSU rRNA". It matches the Rfam family "Bacterial small subunit ribosomal RNA", at positions 80 to 1379 of the family's 1533-position model. The record is from RNAcentral.
UUGCUGCUUCGCUGACGAGUGGCGGACGGGUGAGUAAUGUCUGGGAAGCUGCCUGAUGGAGGGGGAUAACUACUGGAAACGGUAGCUAAUACCGCAUAAUGUCGCAAGACCAAAGAGGGGGACCUUCGGGCCUCUUGCCAUCGGAUGUGCCCAGAUGGGAUUAGCUUGUUGGUGGGGUAACGGCUCACCAAGGCGACGAUCCCUAGCUGGUCUGAGAGGAUGACCAGCCACACUGGAACUGAGACACGGUCCAGACUCCUACGGGAGGCAGCAGUGGGGAAUAUUGCACAAUGGGCGCAAGCCUGAUGCAGCCAUGCCGCGUGUAUGAAGAAGGCCUUCGGGUUGUAAAGUACUUUCAGCGGGGAGGAAGGGAGUAAAGUUAAUACCUUUGCUCAUUGACGUUACCCGCAGAAGAAGCACCGGCUAACUCCGUGCCAGCAGCCGCGGUAAUACGGAGGGUGCAAGCGUUAAUCGGAAUUACUGGGCGUAAAGCGCACGCAGGCGGUUUGUUAAGUCAGAUGUGAAAUCCCCGGGCUCAACCUGGGAACUGCAUCUGAUACUGGCAAGCUUGGGUCUCGUAGAGGGGGGUAGAAUUCCAGGUGUAGCGGUGAAAUGCGUAGAGAUCUGGAGGAAUACCGGUGGCGAAGGCGGCCCCCUGGACGAAGACUGACGCUCAGGUGCGAAAGCGUGGGGAGCAAACAGGAUUAGAUACCCUGGUAGUCCACGCCGUAAACGAUGUCGACUUGGAGGUUGUGCCCUUGAGGCGUGGCUUCCGGAGCUAACGCGUUAAGUCGACCGCCUGGGGAGUACGGCCGCAAAGUUAAAACUCAAAUGAAUUGACGGGGGCCCGCACAAGCGGUGGAGCAUGUGGUUUAAUUCGAUGCAACGCGAAGAACCUUACCUGGUCUUGACAUCCACGGAAGUUUUCAGAGAUGAGAAUGUGCCUUCGGGAACCGUGAGACAGGUGCUGCAUGGCUGUCGUCAGCUCGUGUUGUGAAAUGUUGGGUUAAGUCCCGCAACGAGCGCAACCCUUAUCCUUUGUUGCCAGCGGUCCGGCCGGGAACUCAAAGGAGACUGCCAGUGAUAAACUGGAGGAAGGUGGGGAUGACGUCAAGUCAUCAUGGCCCUUACGACCAGGGCUACACACGUGCUACAAUGGCGCAUACAAAGAGAAGCGACCUCGCGAGAGCAAGCGGACCUCAUAAAGUGCGUCGUAGUCCGGAUUGGAGUCUGCAACUCGACUCCAUGAAGUCGGAAUCGCUAGUAAUCGUGGAUCAGAAUGCCACGGUGAAUACGUUCCCGGGC